RNAcentral lists this ribosomal RNA (291 nucleotides) under uncultured bacterium. RNAcentral's name for it is "partial 16S ribosomal RNA". The record is from RNAcentral.
CUACAGGGGUUUCUAAUCCGGUUCGCUCCCCACGCUUUCGUGCCUCAGUGUCAGAAAUGGUCCAGUAACCUGCCUACGCCAUUGGUGUUCCUUCUUAUAUCUACGGAUUUCACUCCUACACAAGAAAUUCCAGUUACCUCUACCAUUCUCGAGUUAGUGAGUUUGAAUAAUAGUCUGUAUGGUUGAGCCACCAGAUUUCACUAUUCACUUUACUAACCACCUACGCAACUCUUUACGCCCAGUCACUCCGGAUAAUGCUUGCACCCUACGUAUUACCGCGGCUGCUGGCAC